This 484-nucleotide ribosomal RNA is filed under the name uncultured bacterium. Its description in RNAcentral is "partial 16S ribosomal RNA". It matches the Rfam family "Bacterial small subunit ribosomal RNA", at positions 30 to 507 of the family's 1533-position model. The record is from RNAcentral.
AUUGAACGCUGGCGGUAGGCCUAACACAUGCAAGUCGAGCGGAUGAAGGGAGCUUGCUCCUGGAUUCAGCGGCGGACGGGUGAGUAAUGCCUAGGAAUCUGCCUGGUAGUGGGGGAUAACGUCCGGAAACGGGCGCUAAUACCGCAUACGUCCUGAGGGAGAAAGUGGGGGAUCUUCGGACCUCACGCUAUCAGAUGAGCCUAGGUCGGAUUAGCUAGUUGGUGGGGUAAAGGCCUACCAAGGCGACGAUCCGUAACUGGUCUGAGAGGACGAUCAGUCACACUGGAACUGAGACACGGUCCAGACUCCUACGGGAGGCAGCAGUGGGGAAUAUUGGACAAUGGGCGAAAGCCUGAUCCAGCCAUGCCGCGUGUGUGAAGAAGGUCUUCGGAUUGUAAAGCACUUUAAGUUGGGAGGAAGGGCAGUAAGUUAAUACCUUGCUGUUUUGACGUUACCAACAGAAUAAGCACCGGCUAACUUCGUG